GUAGGUGAACCUGCGGAAGGAUCAUUACAGAGUUCAUGCCCUCACGGGUAGAUCUCCCACCCUUGAAUACUAUACCUUCGUUGCUUUGGCAGGCCGUGGAAACACCACGGGCCUCGGCUAGUGCGUGCCUGCCAGAGGAAACAAGCUCUGUUUUUAGUGAUGUCUGAGUAACUAUAUAAUAGUUAAAACUUUCAACAACGGAUCUCUUGGUUCCCGCAUCGAUGAAGAACGCAGCAUCUGACUGACUUCA
This 250-nucleotide unclassified non-coding RNA is filed under the name plant metagenome. RNAcentral describes it as "partial contains small subunit ribosomal RNA, internal transcribed spacer 1, and 5.8S ribosomal RNA". The record is from RNAcentral.